AUCAACUUUCGAUGGUAGGAUAGAGGCCUACCAUGGUGGUAACGGGUAACGGGGUGUUAGGGCACGACACCGGAGAGGGAGCCUGAGAAACGGCUACCACAUCCAAGGAUGGCAGCAGGCGCGCAAAUUACCCAAUCCCGACACGGGGAGGUAGUGACAAUAAAUAACAAUACGGGGUCCUUUCGGGUUUCGUAAUUGGAAUGAGUACAAUUUAAAUCUCUUAACGAGGAACAAUUGGAGGGCAAGUCUGGUGCCAGCAGCCGCGGUAAUUCCAGCUCCAAUAGCGUUUA
RNAcentral lists this ribosomal RNA (290 nucleotides) under uncultured Rhizophagus. RNAcentral describes it as "partial small subunit ribosomal RNA". It matches the Rfam family "Eukaryotic small subunit ribosomal RNA", at positions 314 to 603 of the family's 1831-position model. The record is from RNAcentral. Lineage: Eukaryota; Fungi; Glomeromycota; Glomeromycetes; Glomerales; Glomeraceae.